RNAcentral lists this long non-coding RNA (1050 nucleotides) under Anser brachyrhynchus (Pink-footed goose). Its description in RNAcentral is "lncRNA (ENSABRG00000012190.1)". Lineage: Eukaryota; Metazoa; Chordata; Aves; Anseriformes; Anatidae. The record is from RNAcentral.
AUGGGUGUGGGGACGCUGCAUAGAACCACAGACUGGUCUGGCUUGGAAGGGACCUUAAAGCCCCCCCAGUCCCACCCCCCCUGCCCUGGUCAGGGCCCCCUGCCUCCACCCCUGGCUGCCCCCAGCCCCCCCAGCCUGGCCUUGGGCACUGCUGGGGAUGGGAAGAGCCACGGGGCCGUGCCCAGGGACACGGCAGGCUGUGGGGAUGCCGUGGGGAUGGCCCCCGGUCCCCGGGCCAGGCUCUCCUCCCUGCGAGCCCCCGGCCACCCCAGCUCGGGCCCUGCCCCGUCCGGCCCCCUCCAAGCUCAGCACCGGAGCCCCCCAUGCCCGGAGCCAUCCCUGGCCUGGCCUGCCCGGGGCCGGGGGUGCCGGGGGGGCUCCGGGCGCUGCAGCCCCUCGGGGGCAGGAGCUGCCGGUGGCCGGAUCCGGCCCUGGCAGGGCCCCGGCACACACGGGCCCCUUGUCUCGCCCCGGGGCCGCAGCCAGGCCCCGCUGCAGGAAGGGCAGAGACCCGGCGGCCCCGCACAAGCGGCCUUUGUUCCCCGCCGGCCGCUUCCUGAGCAGAUCUGGGGGGGGCCCCGGGGGCUGGCGUGGGCGACGAUGCCCGCGAGGCGGGGUGGCUCUGUCCCCAUCCUGUCCCGUCCCGUGCCGAGGGCGCGCGUUGGCCGCCAGCCUGGCCGCAGCCCCUUGGGGACGGUGCAAAGCCUCCCCCCACUUCCUAGGCCCCAGGAGCCUGCAGGCAGCAGGAUCCGGCCCCACGGCGACCCCCGGCCACUGCGCGGGUGCCCCACGCACCCCGCUGGCACCCGCCGGUCCCCGUGCCCCCAGGGUGCUGUCCCCACGGGGACCCCAGUGCCGCAGCGGGACGCUCCCUGUGCCUGGAGCUGCUGGGGCAGGGUCUGGCCACGGGGACCCCCUCGCAGGGCCGAGCUGCCCCCCCGGUGGGGACAGGGGGGAGCAGGGCUGGGACGAGGCGGGGACCCGGGGCAGGACGCGGAGCUGCAGCGGGACGCGGCCCUGCCCCGGCCCUGGGGCGCAGCGUGGGGAUGA